GAUGAACGCUAGCGGCAGGCUUAAUACAUGCAAGUCGUGGGCCGCCGGGCUUUUGGAAUACCGUUUCUUGCGGCCGGCCAACGGGUUCGGGACCCCUACCCCACCUACCCUGAACCUGGGGGUAACCCGGGGAAACCCGGAUUAAUUCCCCGGUAUAUAAUUGAGUUGCAUUCCUUUAUUAUUAAAGCUCCGGCGGGUCCGGGUGGGCGUGCGGCUGAUUAGGUAGUUGGUUGAGGUAACGGCUCACCAAGCCUACGAUCAGUAACUGGUGUGAGAGCACGACCAGUCACACGGGCACUGAGACACGGGCCCGACUCCUACGGGAGGCAGCAGUAAGGAAUAUUGGGCAAUGGAGGCAACUCUGACCCAGCCAUGCCGCGUGGAGGAUGAAGGCCCUCUGGGUUGUAAACUUCUUUUAUAGGGGACGAAACCUGUGUAUUCUUACGCAGUUGACGGUACCCUAGGAAUAAGCACCGGCUAACUCCGUG
Molecule: ribosomal RNA, 488 nt
Filed under: uncultured bacterium
Lineage: Bacteria
Description: partial 16S ribosomal RNA
Rfam family: Bacterial small subunit ribosomal RNA
Source: RNAcentral